Molecule: long non-coding RNA, 523 nt
Organism: Patella vulgata (common limpet)
Lineage: Eukaryota; Metazoa; Mollusca; Gastropoda; Patellidae
Exons: 3
Source: RefSeq, a predicted model, not a curated record
CAGAAUCAACGGUGUCAAAUACAUCAACUACUACUACUACUACGGAGAUUACGCCAGAUACAACCCGGUCGAGUAUAAAGGGAAUGACACCACCAACUACCACGGAGAUGACGACAGAUACAUUAGUACCAAAAUCAACCACUGAUGAAAGGGUCACUGAUAAAAACACAACCAUAACAUCUACAAAUGAAAAUGGUGAUAUUGUUCAAAUAGGUGUUAAUAUUGGUGGAUCUGUUGGAGGAAUAACUGUAAUAAUCGUCAUCAUUAUCAUAAUUGUGUGUGUAAUACGUAAACGGAGAAAAGACAAGACUUACGAAAGUCCAGAAGCUGUAGAGACUGAUGCUCAUCCUUACCAGAAUAUUCCAGAAAACAGAUCAGGGGAAAUAACUCACCAACCUAAACCGAAUAAUGAAUUGGUUCAUCAGGAGAAUGAUCCAUAUACCAGUAUUGAUAAUGAUAUAAUUAAACCUAGCAACGGUAACCAAGGGAUGGAAUAUCUAGAAAAUGAUCUGUAUAUAAGUUA